RNAcentral lists this ribosomal RNA (507 nucleotides) under uncultured Glomeraceae. RNAcentral describes it as "SSU rRNA". It matches the Rfam family "Eukaryotic small subunit ribosomal RNA", at positions 569 to 1078 of the family's 1831-position model. Lineage: Eukaryota; Fungi; Glomeromycota; Glomeromycetes; Glomerales; Glomeraceae. The record is from RNAcentral.
AGCAGCCGCGGUAAUUCCAGCUCCAAUAGCGUAUAUUAAAGUUGUUGCAGUUAAAAAGCUCGUAGUUGAAUUUCGGGGUUAGUAGGUUGGUCAUGCCUCCGGUAUGUACUGGUCUCACUGAUUCCUCCUUCCUUAUGAACCGUAAUGCCAUUAAUUUGGUGUUGCGGGGAAUUUGGACUGUUACUUUGAAAAAUUAGAGUGUUUAAAGCAAGCUAACGCUUGAAUACAUUAGCAUGGAAUAAUGAAAUAGGACGUUCGAUCUUAUUUUGUUGGUUUCUAGGAUUGACGUAAUGAUUAAUAGGGAUAGUUGGGGGCAUUAGUAUUCAAUUGUCAGAGGUGAAAUUCUUGGAUUUAUUGAAGACUAACUACUGCGAAAGCAUUUGCCAAGGAUGUUUUCAUUAAUCAAGAACGAAAGUUAGGGGAUCGAAGACGAUCAGAUACCGUCGUAGUCUUAACCAUAAACUAUGCGACUAGGGAUCGGAUGAUGUUAAUUUUUUAAUGGUCUCA